GCUCAGAACGAACGCUGGCGGCGUGGCUAAGACAUGCAAGUCGUACGGACCUCAGUAGCAAUAUUGAGGUUAGUGGCGAAAGGGUGAGUAAUGGAUGGGUAACGUACCCUGGACUCGGGGAUAACAGCGCCCGCAAGGGCUUUAGCGAAAGUGCUGCUAAUACCCGAUGACAUCGCGAAGUCGCAUGGUUUUGCGAUCAAAGCCGGGGACCCGCAAGGGCCUGGCGGUCUUGGAGCGGCCCAUCUCCUAUCAGCUAGUUGGUGAGGUAACGGCUCACCAAGGCUUCGACGGGUAGCCGGACUGAGAGGUUGGCCGGCCACAUCGGGACUGAGACACUGCCCGGACACCUACGGGUGGCUGCAGUAACGAAUAUUGGGCAAUGGGCGCAAGCCUGACCCAGCGACGCCGCGUGCAGGAGGAAGUCCUUCGGGAUGUAAACUGCUGUCAGGGGCUAGCAAGCAAAGGGUGUUAACAGCAUCCGGCGUUGGGCCGCCCCAGAGGAAGCCACGACUAACUCUGUGCCAGCAGUCGCGGUAAGACAGAGGUGGCAAGCGUUGUUCGGAAUCACUGGGCUUAAAGCGCGUGUAGGCGGCUCGGAAAGUGUCGUGUGAAAGCCCCUGGCUCAACCAGGGAACUGCGCGGCAAACUCCCGGGCUUGAGGCUGGUAGAGGUGCCUGGAACUCUCGGUGGAGCGGUGAAAUGCGUAGAUAUCGAGAGGAACGCCGGAGGCGAAAGCGGGGCACUGGGCCAGAUCUGACGCUGAGACGCGAAAGCGUGGGGAGCAAACAGGAUUAGAUACCCUGGUAGUCCACGCCGUAAACGAUGCACACUAGACGUCGGACCCUCUGACGGGACCGGCGUCGUAGCAAAAGUCAUAAGUGUGCCGCCUGGGGAGUACGGCCCGCAGGCUAAACUCAAA
This 919-nucleotide ribosomal RNA is filed under the name uncultured bacterium. Its description in RNAcentral is "bacterial SSU rRNA". It matches the Rfam family "Bacterial small subunit ribosomal RNA", at positions 22 to 905 of the family's 1533-position model. The record is from RNAcentral.